Molecule: non-coding RNA, 135 nt
Organism: Triticum aestivum (bread wheat)
Lineage: Eukaryota; Viridiplantae; Streptophyta; Magnoliopsida; Poales; Poaceae
Source: Rfam
GUAGUAUUCCCUUCGUCCCAAAAUUCUUGUCUUACAUUUGUUUAGAUAUGGAUGUAUCUAACACUAAAAUUGAACUAGAUACAUCCGUCUUUAGACAAAUUUAAGACAAGAAUUUUGGGACGGAGGGAGUACAAA